This 492-nucleotide ribosomal RNA is filed under the name uncultured bacterium. Its description in RNAcentral is "partial 16S ribosomal RNA". It matches the Rfam family "Bacterial small subunit ribosomal RNA", at positions 29 to 507 of the family's 1533-position model. The record is from RNAcentral.
AGUGAACGCUGGCGGUAGGCCUAACACAUGCAAGUCGAACGGCAGCACAGUAAGAGCUUGCUCUUACGGGUGUCGAGUGGCGGACGGGUGAGGAAUACAUCGGAAUCUACUUUUUCGUGGGGGAUAACGUCGGGAAACUUACGCUAAUACCGCAUACGACCUACGGGUGAAAGCAGGGGAUCUUCGGACCUUGCGCGAUUGAAUGAGCCGAUGUCGGAUUAGCUAGUUGGCGGGGUAAAGGCCCACCAAGGCGACGAUCCGUAGCUGGUCUGAGAGGAUGAUCAGCCACACUGGAACUGAGACACGGUCCAGACUCCUACGGGAGGCAGCAGUGGGGAAUAUUGGACAAGGGGCGCAAGCCUGAUCCAGCCAUACCGCGUGGGUGAAGAAGGCCUUCGGGUUGUAAAGCCCUUUUGUUGGGAAAGAAAAGCAGCAGGUUAAUACCCCGCUGUUCUGACGGUACCCAAAGAAUAAGCACCGGCUAACUUCGUG